UUUAGCCGUUACUCGGCGUUUAUGAUCACAAAGUGAUUAUGAGCAAUUACAGAUAGUGAGCACCAAAAAAAAAUGUUCUAGUCUUAAAUUGGGAAUUCCUCUAAGGAUUUCCUCUAAGCAAAAAAUCUUACAUAUUAAUGGUAUAUUCUUUUAGAUAUACGUAUUCAUCUAUAAAAGAGUGGAUGCGUGAACUAUACUCAAUAGUAAAUUCCUCUAUCAGAAAUAUCACUAUGUAAUUUGAAUAGCCUCUUGAAAUAAGAGGAUAUGCAAGAUAUUCGCGGCACGCGCGCUUGUUAGAAAAAGAUUGUCAUUUAAGUAUUUGUUUUGUGACAAUCGACUGCAUGAUGCGCAGAGGUGAUCGCGAACGGCGCGAACCGAUCAGUGAAGCGCUGAGCGCACACAUACGCAGUUCUUGCUUGGUGUGUCAUGCUUCACUAUCGUGAGUCGUAAUCCGCGGUUGCUGUCUGGCACACAGUGUGCGUCAUAGCGAGUCGUGUAGCGUGUGCACUGAAUUUCAGUUUGUGUUUGUUCUUUCGUGCAGUGAUAUCAUGAACGAAGUUCAGAAAUUUUUAAGCGAAGCACAUUUAGGCAACUAUUGGCCCGCAUUUGAGAAUUUUUCUGCUGGGACUUGUCCUCGUUUUACGAAUACUACGCAGCUGAUACAGGACCGCAAAGUUUUCGGCCAAGUUUCGCUCGAGAAUCGAGAGUAAAUUUCGUCAAACGCGCGAUAACUUCAACGUAAGUACCACAAUCUUGUAAGAAAUAUCUCAAUAUAAAUUUUACAAUUUACAGACAGAUAUAUUUCAUAUAAAAGAUGUUAAUAUUUCUUUCAAGUACUGGUGUAAUUUUUAUUUUAGAUUUUUCGAAUAGACAAUUUUAUGAAGUAACAAGGCGAGCUGAGCAAAGUCUGGAGGUCGUCUCCACAAACUGUAAGUUUUAAUGAAGCACACGUGCAAGAUAUUCCUCUUGUUGCGUUAUUUUUACCGCAGAGAUUGGUCAAUAAUCCCUAUCUUUGGUUUCGAAGGUCGCAAUAAUAUUUUAUUGUGCUUAUCCAGUGCAUGCUUCUGAAUGCUCACGCAUUCACGGGUAAAACCGUCGAAUAAAAUGGUAAAUUAAUUUUUGAGAUAUUAAAAAGAAAUGCGAUUUCGACAAAUGAAAACGUACCUAUGCUGCUGAUAUAACUGCUCACGGAAAUACAAGUAGAGCAUUUAAAUUUUUUUAUCAUCUUAUAUGAUUAUCAUUUUAUAUGAUUAUCAUUUUAUAUAAGCUAUAUUUUUAUUUGAUAUGUAAUAUAAAUACGACAAUCGUUGUACCCUAUAACAUUUCACUAAUUUUUCUGAAAUUGCGCUGAUAGCGUAUCAAUAAAUAAAAGAGACCUGAACAUUUUUAUCUCGACCUUUUCCAUUCAUGACUGGUCCUUAGAAAAUAUCUGAAGCGUAUAUGCAUGAACGCAGUCGCCCGUGUUACGAUGCGUCGGAGAGCCGCUCCGGGCGAGUUGGAAAAAUCCGAGACCAGCAUCGAAAUCAGGACGGCGGCAUCGGCUGCGUGUCCCACAUUUCCCCAGUCUCGUUUUUUUCGAGGAGCCAGUAAAUAUGAAAAAAAGCAGAGAAAGACAUUUUGCCUCUUUGAAUUAUUUCGAGAUGGAGAGAUCUCUUGCGUAAAUUACAGGCCAGAAAAUACAAGAAACAAUAAAAAGAUAAAAUCCGGUUACAAGUGAAAGAAAACAGAAGAGAGAGAGAGAGAGAGAAAUUAAAUUCUCCGAUAUUACAUUAAGUGCGCAAAUUCGCGCUUGUUUGAAUUCUCAAUUCGGUGCUUGUUUGACAAAAUUGAAUCUUUAUUUACAAAAAUAUAAAUAUAAUAAAAAUGUCAAUCUCUCUAUUCGAAAUAUUCGCCAUCAUUUUCUAAUACUUUUCUACAUCCAUCGAGCAGCUGCUGAAUUUUCUCUCGAAAACGAGAAAGUAAAUAAAGCUCAAUUUCUUGAAAAAAAAUCAUCGAAUUAAGUUUUGCGCAUCUAAUAUUUUUAAUAAUAACAAACACGGUAUCUCAGAUAUAAUGAACAAACAAGGAUGAAAAGCGCUCGUGUGUAGUUAAGACUUUCGACGGGGAGAGAGAGAGAGAGAGAGGGGGAGAGAGAGAGAGAGAGAGAGAGAGAGAGGGAGAGAGAGAGACUAUAGCUGGAUCUUCGCUGGAGAAGGGUUUAAUCGGAUCGCUUUCGUCAACUUGAGACGAGGCGAAUAUUCCAUCGUGUUGCACGUCCAUCCACGUCUAUUCACGUCGACUAGGCAGCAUCUUCGAGAACAUCCCGACGUUUGAUAGGUACACGAAUCGGUAGGCAAACAUUUGGCUUGCUUCGGGGGCAAUAUCAUAUUAACCCAGUUUCAUUUCCGCAAAUUAAUCGUUGGUCCUCUUAUCACGAUGGAGAUGCUACCGCGUUUCCAUCAUAUUCGCGCAAUUCGUGUAAUUAAUAAUUCGUUACCGCGCGAUUCAUGUUGGAAGAACAUCGUCGAGAGAAUAGAAAUUAUUGUAUAUGACACAUCUUCGUUUACUUUAAAGGCAAGUGAUACGAUAUAUCAGUUCAUUCGCGCGUUUGCUAAUUCUCGAACGGUAAACACACAAAAGCAUAAACGUGCAUCUCGAUGUGUUGCAGUUGCCUGCAUUCGGCAACAAUGGCGAGAAGCUAUUGUUCCUCAUGUUAAAGAGGCGUUACAGUUUGAGUACCCAUGAAAUCUUGACAAGCUUUCUGAAACGAGAAACGUCGCGUCUAGAAACAUCUAGAAAUCUCGCAAAUAGCGCGAAUUUUACAGCUUUAUAUCUAAUAGAAAAAGAUUUUGUGAAGAAAUAUUAUUACACGUUUGAAUUUUUAUUUUAGGGAAAAUGGAUAAAGAAGUAAACGUGACGGUACGUUUAAUGGAAUAAGUGGCAAAUUAUAAGAAAAAUGCAAAAUUUUUUUAAAACAUUGUUAUUAAUUUUCUACACGUAUACAUAUUCACAUCUUUUUAGUCACAAACGCAAUCAGUCGAAUUACAUACAAUCGCGUUCUAUUCCCAUACGACCGACGCAGCAUUCACACACGCAUACAUAUUCUUCUGUCGCGUCGUCGCAUUGAAAAUACAUCUCGCAAAUACGUUACGCAUUAGGCUUUUGUUAUGCAGAAUGCGUGGUCGCAGGCAACUUUUUCAGGAUGAAUACAACUAAUGAGUCGCGUUUUGCAAUUUAAUGUCCCCGUUGUAGCACGGGCAAGCGGUAAGUUAUGACAUUAUCUUUUAAUCUUCUUCAAAAUGAGCAAUUUAAUGCAUUAAUAGGAAUAUUUAAUGUUUAGAAAGAGAAAAAAAUAUAUGAUUAAAAAAUAUCUUUCCACGUGUGGAUUUGAAACAUGUGGAUUUGAAACGUGUGGAUUUGAAACAUGUACUCAAGAAUCCUUAAUAUCGUAUAUAUUUUAAUAAUUACCUCCAUGAUUUUGAUUAUAAUCUAGUUAAUAACAAAUAUUAUAUAAUAAAAUAUGAAAUAUUCGUUAUCACACGAAUUGUUUCGACUACCUGAAGUAAAUACAUGAAAAGGGAUAUGUCGAUAUACAUGUAGAAAAAGAAGGGAAUAAGGAUAUGUUUAUCUUUAUUACUUUGCCUAAUAAGUAUUGCAAUAUUUUGUCGCAAUUUCGUUCAGGAAUUAGACGUCACGAUUUACAGAAAUCGCGUUAAAGUAAAUAUAGUCGCGUAACUUGGCUGCUGCAUGCGUGUGACCACGCAUCCAAAAUAACCGCAAUCAUGAACAUUUGCAAGAUACUUCGAUCUCGAGAUAUCGAUCUAGAAUCUAGGAAACUUGCGCGCCCGUAACAAGUUUUUCUUCUUUUGCGCUAUUGUCAUUAAAAUACUACGUGUUACGUUCCGCAUCAUAAAUACGAAUUUUUGUCCAAAACUCAUUUUGAACAACUGAUAAUUCACAUAUCAAAGUGCCUUAAUUUUAUUUUUGAAAUAUAUUUAUAUAUGUAUGCGUACGCGCACACACACACACACACACACACACACACACACACACACACACACACACACACACACACACAUAUACAAUUUUCCAAUUUUGUUGUGAAUUGUGGAUCGUUCAAAAUGGCUUUU
Long non-coding RNA from Ooceraea biroi (clonal raider ant), 4109 nucleotides. RefSeq lists it as uncharacterized. NCBI's taxonomy places the organism in Eukaryota, Metazoa, Arthropoda, Insecta, Hymenoptera, Formicidae. The record is from RefSeq and is a predicted model, not a curated record.